This 1423-nucleotide ribosomal RNA is filed under the name Enterococcus mundtii. RNAcentral describes it as "bacterial SSU rRNA". It matches the Rfam family "Bacterial small subunit ribosomal RNA". The record is from RNAcentral. Lineage: Bacteria; Bacillati; Bacillota; Bacilli; Lactobacillales; Enterococcaceae.
UGCAGUCGAACGCUUCUUUUCCCACCGGAGCUUGCUCCACCGGGAAAAGAGGAGUGGCGAACGGGUGAGUAACACGUGGGUAACCUGCCCAUCAGAAGGGGAUAACACUUGGAAACAGGUGCUAAUACCGUAUAACAAUCGAAACCGCAUGGUUUCGUUUUGAAAGGCGCUUUACGGUGCCGCUGAUGGAUGGACCCGCGGUGCAUUAGCUAGUUGGUGAGGUAACGGCUCACCAAGGCCACGAUGCAUAGCCGACCUGAGAGGGUGAUCGGCCACAUUGGGACUGAGACACGGCCCAAACUCCUACGGGAGGCAGCAGUAGGGAAUCUUCGGCAAUGGACGAAAGUCUGACCGAGCAACGCCGCGUGAGUGAAGAAGGUUUUCGGAUCGUAAAACUCUGUUGUUAGAGAAGAACAAGGGUGAGAGUAACUGUUCACCCCUUGACGGUAUCUAACCAGAAAGCCACGGCUAACUACGUGCCAGCAGCCGCGGUAAUACGUAGGUGGCAAGCGUUGUCCGGAUUUAUUGGGCGUAAAGCGAGCGCAGGCGGUUUCUUAAGUCUGAUGUGAAAGCCCCCGGCUCAACCGGGGAGGGUCAUUGGAAACUGGGAGACUUGAGUGCAGAAGAGGAGAGUGGAAUUCCAUGUGUAGCGGUGAAAUGCGUAGAUAUAUGGAGGAACACCAGUGGCGAAGGCGGCUCUCUGGUCUGUAACUGACGCUGAGGCUCGAAAGCGUGGGGAGCAAACAGGAUUAGAUACCCUGGUAGUCCACGCCGUAAACGAUGAGUGCUAAGUGUUGGAGGGUUUCCGCCCUUCAGUGCUGCAGCUAACGCAUUAAGCACUCCGCCUGGGGAGUACGACCGCAAGGUUGAAACUCAAAGGAAUUGACGGGGGCCCGCACAAGCGGUGGAGCAUGUGGUUUAAUUCGAAGCAACGCGAAGAACCUUACCAGGUCUUGACAUCCUUUGACCACUCUAGAGAUAGAGCUUCCCCUUCGGGGGCAAAGUGACAGGUGGUGCAUGGUUGUCGUCAGCUCGUGUCGUGAGAUGUUGGGUUAAGUCCCGCAACGAGCGCAACCCUUAUUGUUAGUUGCCAUCAUUUAGUUGGGCACUCUAGCAAGACUGCCGGUGACAAACCGGAGGAAGGUGGGGAUGACGUCAAAUCAUCAUGCCCCUUAUGACCUGGGCUACACACGUGCUACAAUGGGAAGUACAACGAGUCGCGAAGUCGCGAGGCUAAGCUAAUCUCUUAAAGCUUCUCUCAGUUCGGAUUGUAGGCUGCAACUCGCCUACAUGAAGCCGGAAUCGCUAGUAAUCGCGGAUCAGCACGCCGCGGUGAAUACGUUCCCGGGCCUUGUACACACCGCCCGUCACACCACGAGAGUUUGUAACACCCGAAGUCGGUGAGGUAACCUUUUUGGAGCCA